This 373-nucleotide unclassified non-coding RNA is filed under the name plant metagenome. RNAcentral's name for it is "partial contains 5.8S ribosomal RNA, internal transcribed spacer 2, and large subunit ribosomal RNA". The stretch from base 1 to 105 matches the Rfam family "5.8S ribosomal RNA", at positions 50 to 154 of the family's 154-position model. The record is from RNAcentral.
GAAAUGCGAAAAGUAAUGCGAAUUGCAGAAUUCAGCGAGUCAUCGAGUUUUUGAACGCACAUUGCGCCCGCCGGUAUUCCGGCGGGCAUGCCUGUCCGAGCGUCUACAACAAACCCUCGAGCCUUUCCUCCGUUAUUCUCGCGGAGGGACCGCGCUCGGUCUUGGACCAAUCCAGAUUCCUAGGCGACUCGUCGCCGCGGGAGGUCUUUAAAUCGAUCGCCGGAGGACGCUCAGCGGUGGAGCCGAUCAAGCCAGAGUCGCGAGAUCGGCUGUGAACCUCCGUCUGAGUUCCUCCAGGAACGAACGAAGCUCUUACGCCGCUUUUUUUUUUUUUCGACCUCGGAUCAGGUAGGGUUACCCGCUGAACUUAAGC